GUGUAGCGCAGCCUGGUAGCGCACCUCGUUCGGGACGAGGGGGUCGCAGGUUCAAAUCCUGCCACUCCGACCA
Molecule: transfer RNA, 73 nt
Filed under: Mesorhizobium sp.
Lineage: Bacteria; Pseudomonadati; Pseudomonadota; Alphaproteobacteria; Hyphomicrobiales; Phyllobacteriaceae
Description: tRNA-Pro
Rfam family: tRNA
About the family: Transfer RNA (tRNA) molecules are approximately 80 nucleotides in length. Their secondary structure includes four short double-helical elements and three loops (D, anti-codon, and T loops). Further hydrogen bonds mediate the characteristic L-shaped molecular structure. tRNAs have two regions of fundamental functional importance: the anti-codon, which is responsible for specific mRNA codon recognition, and the 3' end, to which the tRNAs corresponding amino acid is attached (by aminoacyl-tRNA synthetases). tRNAs cope with the degeneracy of the genetic code in two manners: having more than one tRNA (with a specific anti-codon) for a particular amino acid; and 'wobble' base-pairing, i.e. permitting non-standard base-pairing at the 3rd anti-codon position.
Source: RNAcentral